Molecule: ribosomal RNA, 1020 nt
Filed under: uncultured Actinomyces sp.
Lineage: Bacteria; Bacillati; Actinomycetota; Actinomycetes; Actinomycetales; Actinomycetaceae
Description: bacterial SSU rRNA
Rfam family: Bacterial small subunit ribosomal RNA (bases 1-861)
Source: RNAcentral
GACGAACGCUGGCGGCGUGCCUAAUACAUGCAAGUAGAACGCUGAAGAGAGGAGCUUGCUCUUCUUGGAUGAGUUGCGAACGGGUGAGUAACGCGUAGGUAACCUGCCUUGUAGCGGGGGAUAACUAUUGGAAACGAUAGCUAAUACCGCAUAACAAUGGAUGACACAUGUCAUUUAUUUGAAAGGGGCAAUUGCUCCACUACAAGAUGGACCUGCGUUGUAUUAGCUAGUAGGUGAGGUAACGGCUCACCUAGGCGACGAUACAUAGCCGACCUGAGAGGGUGAUCGGCCACACUGGGACUGAGACACGGCCCAGACUCCUACGGGAGGCAGCAGUAGGGAAUCUUCGGCAAUGGGGGCAACCCUGACCGAGCAACGCCGCGUGAGUGAAGAAGGUUUUCGGAUCGUAAAGCUCUGUUGUAAGUCAAGAACGAGUGUGAGAGUGGAAAGUUCACACUGUGACGGUAGCUUACCAGAAAGGGACGGCUAACUACGUGCCAGCAGCCGCGGUAAUACGUAGGUCCCGAGCGUUGUCCGGAUUUAUUGGGCGUAAAGCGAGCGCAGGCGGUUUGAUAAGUCUGAAGUUAAAGGCUGUGGCUCAACCAUAGUUCGCUUUGGAAACUGUCAAACUUGAGUGCAGAAGGGGAGAGUGGAAUUCCAUGUGUAGCGGUGAAAUGCGUAGAUAUAUGGAGGAACACCGGUGGCGAAAGCGGCUCUCUGGUCUGUAACUGACGCUGAGGCUCGAAAGCGUGGGGAGCGAACAGGAUUAUAUACCCUGGUAGUCCAAGGGGCGAAUUCCACAGUGGUAUAUCAUCUUAUCGAUACCGUCCACCUCGAGGGGGGGGCCCGGUACCCAACUUUUUGUUCCCUUUAUGAGGUGUUUAAUAUAGGGUGGGUGGGUGGCGGUGAUGUGGGGUGUGUGUGUGUGGUGUGUGUAGUGGUUGUGUUGUUGUGUGUGUGUUUUUGUGUGUGUUUGUUGUUUGUGAUCGUGUGUGUGGUGUGUUGUGUGUGUUGUGUGUG